ACAGCUUGGACAAAAGUCUAUAGCCAGUGCAUUCCUAGCUCCCUUUACACAGAGACAGACACAGUCAGAGAGAAGACACGCUGGGUCUCGGCUCGGCUCUCCUCUGCGAGCAGGUGUAACGCUGGAUAUCUAUUGGUCUUGGGCCUGCAGGAAAAGGCAGACAG
Molecule: unclassified non-coding RNA, 164 nt
Organism: Sinocyclocheilus anshuiensis
Lineage: Eukaryota; Metazoa; Chordata; Actinopteri; Cypriniformes; Cyprinidae
Source: Ensembl